GUUUUCUACUUGUAUAUCUGAAUAUUUAAAAGGUCGUGUUUGUUUUCAUUGUGACUUUAAAAGCUGUUUUUGCAGUACGGUGGUGCGUUCAGGGGUCAGAAUAAAGUCCAGAAUUCAGAGCUUCUGUUGAAUGAUUCUGGUUCAUGGUUCAGGCCCCUCUCCUCUCCUUCACGAUGUUCUAUUUAAACAUGUGUCCAUGUUACGGUGUGUGUUACGUGAAGUACCUCCAGUGAAAGUGUUUGACCCCCGCCUGUGACAGACUUUAAACUGCAUGACUCUGGGUCAGUGUUCCUGUCUCAUGAUGCUACUGAGAGUUAUUUACUGACUGUACUCUUUGUCUCUGUAUCCAAACUACUGUUGUGUAACACGGACGUCUUAUCGUGUUCAUCAGGAGGCAGUUCGUCCUGUUUGCUGCCGUGACGUCUGAAAAACAAACCUGACCUGCAGAAAACCUGCUGGGCCCGACUGUGAUCGUCUUCUGUCGCUGCUGUCGGGACAAAAUGAUGCAAGAAGAGAACAAAGAGGAGUUUUGUUGAGCGGCUAAAACAGCAGAAAUAAUUCCAUCAGCCCGAUGCUGCUCAUCUGAGGGAGUCAGUGCAAUAAAACUUAAUCCACAACAAAUCACCCACAGCAGAAACACCCAGAGGGAAAGGGCUUUCAUUUCUUUCCUGUGGUGGAGCAUGUGAUCCAGAUACUGUUGACAGUGUGCUGCAGAUGAUUGUACAUAUGGAGGUGGAACUGUGAUUAAAAUCUGAAUUGUA
Molecule: long non-coding RNA, 761 nt
Organism: Notolabrus celidotus (New Zealand spotty)
Lineage: Eukaryota; Metazoa; Chordata; Actinopteri; Labriformes; Labridae
Exons: 2
Source: RefSeq, a predicted model, not a curated record